AUAAAAAUCUCAGUACCAAUAAUAACAUUGGAAGGUUGCAGAGAUUAGCAUGGACCCUGAGCAAGAAUGACACAUAAAUUUGUAAAAUAUUCCAUAACUUU
Non-coding RNA from Erinaceus europaeus (western European hedgehog), 101 nucleotides. NCBI's taxonomy places the organism in Eukaryota, Metazoa, Chordata, Mammalia, Eulipotyphla, Erinaceidae. The record is from Rfam.